GUGUGGUGUGUGUGUGUGUGUGUGUGUGUGUGUUCGUUCUUCAGACAGGAAAACCUCACAGAGACGGGUUUGUACACCAACAUGUAGCUUUAUCACACCUCCACCACCACCGCAAUGACCAGGCCUCCGUUAUCACCGUCCACAUCACCGUAAAGACACGACGCUAUUCUCCCGGAUCCGAUGGAGGGAGCAGUGAGGGUGGCCGAGGCCGGAGGGAGCUCAUCCUCAGCCGGGGCCGCUGUGGCGGAGGACACGGAGACCGUCAUUGGAGUCGGAUACGGGAUAGAAGCUGUGAGUUUCACCCUGAGGGAGGUUGUUGUAGUCCCACACUACAACCUGACUGCUCUCUCUCAGGUCCGGUGAUUCCCUGCAGUUUUGGCCCAUGCUGUGCUGCAGGAUCUGCAUGCUCCUCCUUGGUUCCUUCCCGCUGUGCAGAUCUGUGCUCAUCUCAUUAUAGGAAGGACUUCCUGCACAGCUGUUUCUGAUCAUGUAUGCCAAGCGGCAUGUCUUCAUAUUUAUCCACCCAUCUCUCAUAAUGCUUUUCCAUAGAACCACAG
Long non-coding RNA from Ictalurus punctatus (channel catfish), 557 nucleotides. NCBI's taxonomy places the organism in Eukaryota, Metazoa, Chordata, Actinopteri, Siluriformes, Ictaluridae. The record is from Ensembl.